ACGCUGGCGGCGUGCCUAAUACAUGCAAGUCGAACGAACUCUGGUAAUGAUUGGUGCUUGCAUCAUGAAUUACAUUUGAGUGAGUGGCGAACUGGUGAGUAACACGUGGGAAACCUGCCCAGAAGCGGGGGAUAACACCUGGAAACAGAUGCUAAUACCGCAUAACAACUUGGACCGCAUGGUCCGAGUUUGAAAGAUGGCUUCGGCUAUCACUUUUGGAUGGUCCCGCGGCGUAUUAGCUAGAUGGUGAGGUAACGGCUCACCAUGGCAAUGAUACGUAGCCGACCUGAGAGGGUAAUCGGCCACAUUGGGACUGAGACA
Molecule: ribosomal RNA, 321 nt
Filed under: Lactiplantibacillus paraplantarum
Lineage: Bacteria; Bacillati; Bacillota; Bacilli; Lactobacillales; Lactobacillaceae
Description: bacterial SSU rRNA
Rfam family: Bacterial small subunit ribosomal RNA
Source: RNAcentral